This 253-nucleotide ribosomal RNA is filed under the name uncultured bacterium. RNAcentral describes it as "partial 16S ribosomal RNA". It matches the Rfam family "Bacterial small subunit ribosomal RNA", at positions 524 to 776 of the family's 1533-position model. The record is from RNAcentral.
UACGUAGGGGGCGAGCGUUGUCCGGAUUUACUGGGCGUAAAGAGCGCGCAGGCGGUCGUGCAAGUCGCGUGUGAAAGCCCCCGGCUCAACUGGGGAGGGUCACGCGAUACUGCUCGACUCGAAGGCAGGAGAGGGAAGUGGAAUUCCCGGUGUAGUGGUGAAAUGCGUAGAUAUCGGGAGGAACACCAGUGGCGAAGGCGACUUCCUGGCCUGUUCUUGACGCUGAGGCGCGAAAGCUAGGGUAGCAAACGGG